This 218-nucleotide long non-coding RNA is filed under the name Dendronephthya gigantea. Its description in RNAcentral is "uncharacterized LOC114544939". The record is from RNAcentral. Lineage: Eukaryota; Metazoa; Cnidaria; Anthozoa; Malacalcyonacea; Nephtheidae.
UGUUGGAACAAAACGACGGGGAAACGCCGAUAACAAAUGUGCUCGAGUUGUUUAACGAUCUGUACCACAGAUUCCGAUUGACAACUAAACCAACUAUGAAAGCAAUGUGCCUUCAGGCGAUGACUAAAGUUUAUGGAAAAUGUUAGGAAGAGAUUGGCGCUUUUAAUGACACCAGCUAAGGAUCAUCUGUUAUUGAUCCAGUGUUACUACAGGAGCCU